RNAcentral lists this ribosomal RNA (1540 nucleotides) under Staphylococcus aureus DAR1311. RNAcentral describes it as "16S ribosomal RNA". It matches the Rfam family "Bacterial small subunit ribosomal RNA". Lineage: Bacteria; Bacillati; Bacillota; Bacilli; Caryophanales; Staphylococcaceae. The record is from RNAcentral.
AGAGUUUGAUCCUGGCUCAGGAUGAACGCUGGCGGCGUGCCUAAUACAUGCAAGUCGAGCGAACGGACGAGAAGCUUGCUUCUCUGAUGUUAGCGGCGGACGGGUGAGUAACACGUGGAUAACCUACCUAUAAGACUGGGAUAACUUCGGGAAACCGGAGCUAAUACCGGAUAAUAUUUUGAACCGCAUGGUUCAAAAGUGAAAGACGGUCUUGCUGUCACUUAUAGAUGGAUCCGCGCUGCAUUAGCUAGUUGGUAAGGUAACGGCUUACCAAGGCAACGAUGCAUAGCCGACCUGAGAGGAUGAUCGGCCACACUGGAACUGAGACACGGUCCAGACUCCUACGGGAGGCAGCAGUAGGGAAUCUUCCGCAAUGGGCGAAAGCCUGACGGAGCAACGCCGCGUGAGUGAUGAAGGUCUUCGGAUCGUAAAACUCUGUUAUUAGGGAAGAACAUAUGUGUAAGUAACUGUGCACAUCUUGACGGUACCUAAUCAGAAAGCCACGGCUAACUACGUGCCAGCAGCCGCGGUAAUACGUAGGUGGCAAGCGUUAUCCGGAAUUAUUGGGCGUAAAGCGCGCGUAGGCGGUUUUUUAAGUCUGAUGUGAAAGCCCACGGCUCAACCGUGGAGGGUCAUUGGAAACUGGAAAACUUGAGUGCAGAAGAGGAAAGUGGAAUUCCAUGUGUAGCGGUGAAAUGCGCAGAGAUAUGGAGGAACACCAGUGGCGAAGGCGACUUUCUGGUCUGUAACUGACGCUGAUGUGCGAAAGCGUGGGGAUCAAACAGGAUUAGAUACCCUGGUAGUCCACGCCGUAAACGAUGAGUGCUAAGUGUUAGGGGGUUUCCGCCCCUUAGUGCUGCAGCUAACGCAUUAAGCACUCCGCCUGGGGAGUACGACCGCAAGGUUGAAACUCAAAGGAAUUGACGGGGACCCGCACAAGCGGUGGAGCAUGUGGUUUAAUUCGAAGCAACGCGAAGAACCUUACCAAAUCUUGACAUCCUUUGACAACUCUAGAGAUAGAGCCUUCCCCUUCGGGGGACAAAGUGACAGGUGGUGCAUGGUUGUCGUCAGCUCGUGUCGUGAGAUGUUGGGUUAAGUCCCGCAACGAGCGCAACCCUUAAGCUUAGUUGCCAUCAUUAAGUUGGGCACUCUAAGUUGACUGCCGGUGACAAACCGGAGGAAGGUGGGGAUGACGUCAAAUCAUCAUGCCCCUUAUGAUUUGGGCUACACACGUGCUACAAUGGACAAUACAAAGGGCAGCGAAACCGCGAGGUCAAGCAAAUCCCAUAAAGUUGUUCUCAGUUCGGAUUGUAGUCUGCAACUCGACUACAUGAAGCUGGAAUCGCUAGUAAUCGUAGAUCAGCAUGCUACGGUGAAUACGUUCCCGGGUCUUGUACACACCGCCCGUCACACCACGAGAGUUUGUAACACCCGAAGCCGGUGGAGUAACCUUUUAGGAGCUAGCCGUCGAAGGUGGGACAAAUGAUUGGGGUGAAGUCGUAACAAGGUAGCCGUAUCGGAAGGUGCGGCUGGAUCACCU